CCGGCCCUCCCACUGACUCGCUGACCGGGGACUUUGUCGCACCCAUUGCUGCCGAAAUUGCUUCUACCAGUUGAUCUGACUUUGUACGAAGUAAACUUGUGGUACUCGGUUUAUCCAUCAUUUUCCUUUAUAUUUACAUGCAAAUAUGCAAAUGCAGACGUUAAUUUAUAAUAAGAUAAAAGGAUUUAACUUAUAUAGUGUGAAGGUAUAAAAAGUAAAUUAUUGAAAACAUAAUAGAAAAAAGAUUAAUACAUGUAAAUUAAGGCGCCCAUUUUAUCUAUUAGUAGAAUGCAUCUAGUUACGUUUUCUGACUAGUAUUUUCCUAUAUAGCAUACCUUUUUACUCUAAGAUUUCUAUCUUUCGGUUAUGUUUUUCUCACUUUAUGUUACUAAAUUCUCCAGUUAGUUCAAAAUAUUCUAUUAAUGAUCAAAAGACUACAAAAAAAGAAAAAAAAAUAAGGAAAAGAAACAAUUCUAGAAAGAAAAUAUACAUACCUUUAAAAUUUUCAAAAUUCGAAGCAAACACUAAUUAAUAUAUGAAGUGAAACAUGUAUUUCGUAGGUUUUUUGCUGACUAGUUUCUUUAAUUUGUCAUUCUUGGGAGGGGAGAGGAGAAGUGGGAGAUUAUUUAGAAAUUGACAAUUGGUUAUCAACCCCCAUUUUCAACCGAGAGGUUGUGAGUUCGAGUCUCCCCAAGAACAAGGUGGGAAGUUCUUUGAGGGAAGGAUGUCGGGGGUCUAUUUGGAAACAGCCUCUCUACCACAAGGUAAGGGUAAAGUCUGCGUACAUACUACCCUUCCCAAACCCCUCUAAGUGAGACUAUACAGGUUGUUGUUGUUGACAAUUGGUUGUCACCUAAUGUCUAAUGGCAGAGACCGUAUUGGCUGCGGAUUAUCCUGAAUUUCUUUUUUAAAAAAAAUUCUAAAUGAUUGCUACCAAAAACAUACAUAAGAGAAGGAGGGAACUAAAUCAGUCUAAAAAGAAGAACACUAGAAGAUGAUCAGUUGCAAACUUUCAUACCUUAGUACAACUUAAAAAAGGCUUAAGCAGAAAGAAGAGUAGUGGAGAGAACUAUACAACUCAAUGCUUCACUUCUCUUGACUCUUUAAAAUUUACAUUGGCUCUUUAAGAUUUACAUUGCCAAAGUGCAAUCUUUUUUCUUUUAUAGCAGCAAUAAAGAGAGGGAGAGUUGCAAUUACGUGAAUACCCUUGCCCAUUUGAUAAAUCAUUAAUCCCCCAUUUUGCAUAAUAAUUCCAGCAGAGGUGAGAAACACUUAAUAUUAGUGAUAUUAAUAGUUCGGUUUGAAUUUUUUUUUUAAAAAGAAAUCAAAUUAAAUAGGUUGGUUUUUCAAAUAUUAGAACCAAAUCAAACCAAAUCAAUUAAGUCGGUUUUUCUCGAUUUGGUUUAUGUCGGCUUUUCGAUUUUUUAGUUAUUUGUCGGUUUUUUCUUAAAUAUAAGACGUACACUACCAAACACAUAUUCCGGCGACCAAAUUUUCAAUGUAACACUAUCAAAUCAAUUGCCCUUUGAGAAAUCUAUUAUUUACAAAAAUAUAUUGAUGAUAAUUGAAUCAAAUGGUGAUGAAUAAUUUAAGGGUUCAAUUAAAAAUAUAUUAUUUUUAACACAAAAUAAAUUCUUACACUAAACAAAAGAAAACUACCAAUCAAAUUAGAAUGUAAAGGUAAAGAAUUAUAUUAAAAGUACAAUCUAUUAAUAUUUACCAUAAAUUAAUUUUUUGAAACUUUGUAUAAUAAUAUACAUAUAUAUAAGUGUAAUAAUAUAUUUGAAAUAGCUAUUUUUAUGGUCGGUUUGGUUCGAUUUUUUUCUGAUUAAAUCAAAACCAAACUAAAUUUGAUUGAUUUUAAAAAUUUAAAACAAAAACCAAAUCAAACCAAAAAUAUUAAUUUUUUGAUCGAUUUAAUUUAAUUUUUCAGUUUUUUAUGAUUACCGUGCUCGACAUAAAUGCAAAAGAUAUGAUAAAUAUUUUUCAUAUAGACAUGAACAACAAACAUCAAUUUUGUUUGUCUAGUCCAAAUCAUCCUAGUCGUACACGUGUCCGGACAUUUUGCUGUCCCAACUUUGUUUCCUCUUGAGAAAUCAUCAUCACUUGGAAGUCUAUUCGUCAUCUCAUUUCGUACAAAACUCAUUGAAUUAGCAUAUACAUGAUACAUUUACUAGCCAUGCCUUCACAAUUCGGUACUUAAUUUGUCCUAGCUCUUUAACCAGAGACAUAGUUAACAUUUUUAUUUUUAUAGAUUUGGAAUUUUAGAACCAGAAUUUUAAGUGUUAGUAAUUAGAUUUUAAUUUCAAUUUGUACCUAUUAUGUUUAUUUUUUCAGACUUGUUCAUCCCAUUUGUGCAAAUACUCUAUCCUUUUAGGAUCUUUCCAUUUUCAUCUGUAACAUGAUAGCAAUGUUUUUUAGAGGGAGAACUUAUCCUUAUUGAAGGUGUUACGGACUAAGACAUGAGUAGAAACAUGCGACUUACAACAACAACCUAGUAUAAUCUCAUUUAGUGGGGUCUGGGGAGGGUAGUAUGUAUGCAGACCUUAUCUCUACCCUGAGGUAGAGAGACUGUUUCCAAAUAGAUCUCCGGCAUCCUUCCCUUCAAGAACUUCCCACCUUGCUCUUGGAGAAAUUCGAACUCACAACCUCUAGAUUAGAAGUGGGAUUGCUUACCAUCAGAGCAACCCCUCAAACAAGCGACUUACUAUUUUUCAAAAUUGAUGAUGUUAAAGUUUUUCUUGAAUUUUUAUUAUUAGGUCAAUUUAUGAAGCCUUUUUGCAUUGAUGAUGUCUAACCUUAUUAGGGAAGCACAAUGCCGCCAUUUAAUCAAACGGUAGAAGGCGACAGAGGAAAAUGAAUCGAAAUUGCAAGAUUGGAGGGUGAAGUUCUUGUCAAUGCAUAACCCAAAGGCUAUUGUCCCAUUCUAAUAUUACCUUGCUUCUAGGGCACAAGAGUUUUGGAGCAUUGCCACGAUUCAUGUGCACAAUUUCUUAUUGCAUUUGGGUAUUUUUUAUGAAUAUUAUCACUUGGUCGUUUUGUUUAUGCCAUGCCUAUCAAAGAUGAUUCUUCUCAAAAGAAUAUAUUGAAGUGCUAGUUCCUCA
Molecule: long non-coding RNA, 3104 nt
Filed under: Nicotiana benthamiana
Lineage: Eukaryota; Viridiplantae; Streptophyta; Magnoliopsida; Solanales; Solanaceae
Description: long non-coding RNA (NBEN_LNC011423)
Source: RNAcentral